This 75-nucleotide transfer RNA is filed under the name Candidatus Aerophobota bacterium. Its description in RNAcentral is "Candidatus Aerophobetes bacterium tRNA-Glu". It matches the Rfam family "tRNA". From Rfam's summary of the family: Transfer RNA (tRNA) molecules are approximately 80 nucleotides in length. RNAcentral also lists the same sequence under 1 other name. The record is from RNAcentral. Lineage: Bacteria; Candidatus Aerophobota.
GCCCUCAUCGUCUAGUGGCUAGGACACCGCUCUUUCAAGGCGGUAACGGGGGUUCAAUUCCCCCUGAGGGCGCCA